RNA transcript from Archocentrus centrarchus (flier cichlid), 5710 nucleotides. It is a transcript of the gene named calcium/calmodulin-dependent protein kinase type IV, with no coding region annotated. NCBI's taxonomy places the organism in Eukaryota, Metazoa, Chordata, Actinopteri, Cichliformes, Cichlidae. The transcript has 12 exons. The record is from RefSeq and is a predicted model, not a curated record.
GCCCUACCAGGGAAUCAAACCCCAGAGCAUCGAACACGGACAUCCUCCUCCGACUUACCCCGGCGUUCGCAGUCUGUUUUACGACUUCGGUGUUGCUGUCACUGCGGGCUGGAUCUCCAGUGGGAGGCUGCUUCGCUCCGGAGAGACGGACGGUCCGUUUCUGCGGGUGAAAACACGGAGACACUAAGACUAAAACCCGGGAGGCUGGUGAUGGACUGAGCUGAUCCGACGUCUGAGAGGUUUUUUUUUUGGGCCCGAUGGAAGCUGCGACACAUCUGGAGCUGGUACGUCUGGAUCCCGGUUCCAGCCCCAGUCUGGAUUAAAGAGCCGUGCUCGUCACUGGGGGGGCCGGUGUAUUUUUUUCUGUUUUAGUUUUUCCUCUUUUUCUCAUUGAUUGAGAGUUUGAGGGAGCAGGCGGAUCCCCCUCCUCCCCCUGCUGGUCUGGAUUAAAGCCCAUCAGGAUCAUGAAUCAUCCCCCUUCUGUGACUCUAAUCUGGGCUUUACCGAGCUGGAUUUAAAUCUGAGAUCUGAUCUGGAUUACUCCGCUCCUGGUUCUGAUCGGGUCACAUCUGGCCCGGUCUGAACCAGCUCCAGUACUGGUGUGAUCUUGGACUCGGUCCCGGUGCUCUUGGAACUGGUUUGGGGGAGUUCUGCUAUCAUCAUGCCGACGUCCCGGCCUGGUUCGGAGCCGGUGGAGUUCUGGGUGGACGGGUCAAGGCGGGACGGGACGGUGGAAGAAUUCUACAGCCUGAGCUCGGAGCUGGGCAGAGGAGCGACGUCCAUCGUGUAUCGUUGUGAGGAAAAACAGACCCAGAAACCCUACGCCGUCAAAGUCCUCAAGAAAACGAUCGACAAGAAAAUCGUUCGCACAGAAAUCGGUGUCCUGCUGCGUCUUUCUCACCCAAACAUUAUUCAGCUGAAGGAGAUCUUUGAGACGGACACGGACAUCGCUCUGGUGCUGGAGUUGGUGACCGGAGGAGAGCUCUUUGACCGGAUUGUGGAACGUGGUUACUACAGCGAACGAGAUGCUGCUCACGUCAUCAAACAGAUACUGGAGGCAGUGGCGUAUUUACACGAGAACGGAGUUGUGCACCGUGACCUCAAACCGGAGAACCUGCUGUACGCCGACCUGUCGUUGGACGCUCCGCUGAAGAUAGCCGACUUCGGUCUUUCGAAAAUCAUAGAUGAUCAGGUGACCAUGAAGACGGUCUGUGGUACUCCAGGGUACUGCGCUCCGGAGAUCCUGCGGGGAAAUGCCUACGGCCCUGAGGUGGACAUGUGGUCGGUGGGCGUGAUCCUCUACAUCCUACUUUGUGGAUUUGAGCCCUUCUUUGAUCCAAGAGGGGAUCAGUACAUGUACAGUCGUAUCCUUAACUGCGACUAUGAGUUUGUUUCUCCAUGGUGGGAUGAGGUCUCCCUCAAUGCCAAGGAUCUGGUUAGUAAGCUGAUUGUCCUCGACCCUCAUAAGCGCCUCAGUGUCCGGGAGGCCCUGCAGCACCCCUGGGUGCUGGGUAAAGCUGCUCGGUUCUCUCAUAUGGAUACUACCCAGAGGAAACUACAGGAGUUCAACGCUCGACGCAAACUUAAGGCGGCCAUGAAAGCUGUUGUGGCCACAAGUCGGAUGCACGAAGGCUCGCGGCGUCGCACAGACAGCUGUGAUAUUCCAGGUUCAGGGGCUUCCAGGCAGAGCAGUAUGCAGCAGGACCCGCCUCCUGAGUCUGCACAGUCCACCCACAGAGACAAAGAUGCUCCUCCUCCUGACCAGGAGUUGCCACAGGAAGUUGAAUCAAAGGAUGCUGACCAUAGUGCCCUCAACCUCUCUCCUCCAUGCAGCCCCGAACCACCGAGCUCUGAUGUCACACCAGUAGGGCCCAUCCCAACCAGACCGCCGCUGCGUGCCGACGGGCUGCGACAAGUAUCUGUAAUCCCUAAAAGCAUGCUGGUCCAACCCCGGCUGCCGCAGAAAAGCUGCUCUGUCAUAGAGCCCACCCCCAGAGUAGAGGCCACGCCCACACUGGGCUCACCCCCAAGUCCUAACAACCUCAGCAAUGGCUUCACGCCAGGGGCGGAGCCUACCAGUAAGACCACCCACUGCCAGUGAUCAAAUGGCAAAGAAGAUGCUCCACUUUCCUUCAGUUUCACACAGAAGCAAAAACAGUUCAGCUUUCCAUCAGCUCUGUAUGAAUAUCUAAAUUGGGAACAAAUUACACCAAAGCCAAACGUAUCUGCAACUCACAUCUCAUAUCUAAGCAGUUUCACCACAAGUUCUGGAUCUGUUAGGCCUACGUGCUUACAGCGACUUAUUCACGGAGGGUUUGUUGGCUGCUCCUGCAGAUGUUCUGUCUUCUGGUGUUUAGUAUGAAGGCCUUAGAUUAUUCAGGAUAUGAAAAGUUAAAAAGAGUUUCUUCCAUUAGCAUUCAUCUGCUCUGGUCCUGUCACUGUGGUAAGGAAAACACCAUCAUGGUUUUUGAAGGGACAGAAAACAAAUUUUAAAUGAAACAUCCUUUGAUUAUUUUAUAAAAUAAAAAAAAUGCAUUUAAAAAAUGUGAAUGAAAUCACAAAACUAGCAAAACAUGACUUUUUAAAAUUCUUAAUCAUCUUACACUUAUGUGAGUGUGUCCACUAAAAACACAACAGAGGUAACACAUGUUCACUGUUUCUGUUAAUUACUGCAGUCUUGCCAGUAUCUCCAAGCUUGUUUGCUCAAUCAUUUUGUGAUGACAGAUAAUUUACAGUGAGGAAGUGGAUGUGCUAAAGCUAAGUCAGUGACAGCUAAACAGGAAGCUUGGGGAGCAGCUGUCUCAAGGGCUAGCACAUCUGGAUUGGAUGGCAUGUUAGCAGUUAGCUCACCCACUGCAGCUCUUCAUCAAGUAUCCCUGAAUUAUUUAGUACAUCAGCAAGACUUCAGUUGUUUUUGAAAAGAGUCGGUAUGUGUGCAAAGCAAUAAUCAGAAUAACUCUCCAGAACCACAGUUUGUUUUUCUUACCACAGAAAUGAACCAGCGGCAGCAAAGUGUGUGUUUACAACUAAAAUGAAGCGCUCUAUUAUGACAUUGGACAUCUGAGAACAGACUUACAACUGUUACCAAAGGGGACCUAUUAUGUUUUCCCUUAUUUUCUGUCAUAUGUUAGUGUGAAAUGUUCAUAAAUGAAAAGGUAAAAAUAUGUAAAAGUUAACCGUGUGAGCCAAAGACUGCUAGAAUACUCAGUUUCCACUGUUUUUGUAUUUAUUUUUAAUUUACUAUUUUCCUUAUCUUCAAAACCUUCAGGUUGUCAUCUGCUACAGGCAACAUAUGUCUCUCUAGUAUGGGCAGUACAGCCCACAAGCACUGCAUGGUACCCCUUGGCAGGUUUCUUGGGGAACUUCUGUAAAACAAAGUAUAUCAGGAUAAGUCGGCCACUGAGGCUUUCAAAGUAAAUAUUAAUGGAGCAGAAGUUAUGAAAUUAUACUGAGUGAAAACUAACACCCAGACAGUUGGAUUAACUACUGUAACUAUUUACUGAACCACCUAUUGCAUACAAUUUCUUCUUUGGCUGAUUCUUCCAGUCUAAGUCUGGGGAGUUUUCAGCCCAUGCAGACGCUCUUUAAAGUUUGCUAACGCCUCCAAAAGUGUUUUAAUACAUACUGUGUGAAUCUUUACUGGCUGAUCCUUGUAGAAAAACAACUCAUUUGGUCUUUAGAGGAAAAAUAAUGUGCUUCGUUUUAGCUGUAAACAUUUAUUUAGAUCUAUACUUACUGUCACAUUAAAGGAACAUUACGUCAUUUUACACCAUUUGCUAAAUUUGGCAAUGAUGGUGAGAAAUCCAGAUGGAAAUCACUCUCAUGUCUAUGUGUUUAAAACAGAACUGGCGUUAGCUUAGCAUAGCAUAGAUCCAUCUACCACCACUACCUUCUCAGCAGGUACCUUCCUGCCCAUAUCUAGCAAACAGGAGUGGACUGCCCAAAUACCAACAGGCUACAAGACAUGUGGGCUAGAUGAAUGCAUCUGGUGUGGGUCAGAUCUGAGUCAGAAGAAAUAGGAUAAAGUAUAACCCCCCCAAACACACACACUUUUUUUGGGGGGUGUUCUUCUUGGUUGACAUGCAGCAUUUCUGGGGUAAAAUUUGGCCCAGAUCCAGCAAAUAGCAGACUGCCUAAAUUCAUCACUCCACCCAGUUUGUGGGGCAGAUGAUUGUGUCUGGUGUGGGUUAGAUCUGGGCCACACCUUCCCUGGUUUCAAUAAAAUCAAGUUCACAGUGUGCUUUAAAGAGUGUAUUGAUUUCCUAACUGAGUGGCACUGCAGGCCUAACUUUAUCGCAGCAGUCUGGGAUCAGGUGCAGCAAACGCUCACAAAUACAAAAAUAUUCAACAAUCCAAUUAAGAAGAAAAAGUAAUUAAUUCAAUUCCCACCAUUUUAAACAGGCAAUAAUCAACAAUUUCCAUCAUAAAAUCUGUAGGUUUAAUUUUCAUAUUUUCUGACUGUUGGCAGGUAUAUGUGGAAUUUCCUCCAUACUUAACACAUAAACAUGAGACUGACCCAUCUGAGUGUUUCUCAAAAUGCUGAUCUUUUCCUUUAAGUCCUGAUCUGGGACAAACUGAGACUUGAGUCUCGUGUUUUGGGCUUCUUCUUCUCCUGGCACAGAAAGUGGACUUUUCCUCUGAUGCUCAGGACAGAGCUGACUGAUUGUAUUUUAUUAAGCUAACACAGCUGACUUGGCGCUUGCCUGCAUGGAUGGAUGCUCUGUACUCAUGGACAAGGAGGGAGAGAGAGAGAGAGAGAGAGAGCAGCUUCAUCUCUCGGGUUUUUCUUCUUCUUCUGCAUCCCUUUUUGUUGUGGAGCAUGUGCACUCAGACGCUUCGGACUUUCAUGUUGCUGUAAAACUCUGAGUUUUUUUUAUCCUUUCUACUCUUUACCGUCGACACCCGCUGACAUGAUUAUGCAGCUGUAUGAGUAGAUAGAGUACCUCCAGUGUGUAGCGUUCAGUGCAGGAAACUCCUCCUAACUGACCACAGACACAAACAUAGCACGCUUUAUUGGAAACACAUUUCCUGUGUAACUAAGUGAGGCUGGAGCCAAGAUGAAUGGCACAGUGACAUCAGGACCUACAAGCUCACGAUGAACUGGCUGGCAAAGCAAAUGCUCGUCAAUGUUCUUCCAGCAAAGGCCACAGUCUCCAAGACCGAAAUCAGGGAGAAGCUUGUCAAGAUGACCGAGACCAGAAUCGUCUUCGUCUUUGGCAUCAGGGCUCAGUUUGGUGGCAGUGAGACAAGGAAAGAUGGAAGAAAUACGAGAAGGCCGGUGCCGGCACUGCCCAUAAGAAAUGAUCUUGGACAGUCAGGGAUGGUCUCCAUGUUCAAGAUGUUCUUGUAUAUUUUCAUUAAACAAAGUGUAUGUAAGUAAAAUUUAUUUAUCACAGAAAAAAAAAAUCACAGUGCUUCACAAUAAAUAGACAAAAAAUGAAAGUAUAACAUAUAGCAAUAUAAAGCAAUAGAAUACAGCAUAAAGAAAAAGUGGAAAAAAAAAUAUGUACACAUCACAUCAAACACAGACUGUAUACGAAGAAUGGACACAGCCUCAGUUUUGGUAUGUUGGAUGUUGCCAAGCUGAGGGAGAGCUAAGGUAUCAGCUGACAUUAGCAAGCUCAGUUAGUAAGAUGCAUCCAAGAGGGUAAGGUGGAUGAAAGGAUCACAAGCAUUAAUUUAACCCAUGAGACAGGGGUUUGCAUUAUGU